ACGUCUUCAAUAAACAGCUUUCGUCUACAAUAAACAUGGGCAUUAAAAUUUGUAGAUCGAUGAAAAGCAAUUUACAGUAAAAUUUUGACUGGUUAUUUGCUAAUGUAGCUAGCAUACAUAUCUUCAUUCAUUGUGACAUUCCUUAAUACAUCUCAGGGUAAUUACAAGUUCAAAUUUUCUCCAUAUAUUUUAUAUAAAAAAAGAAGCGAAACAUCUUAUAUCGUUGUGCUUUGACACCAAAAAAGAAAAAGGGAAAAAAGGAAAAAAAGACAUAUCAUUGUGCUUAUAAUCCUUAAAAAUUAAUCAAACAAGUCAUUCUCAUCGUAAGAAAUACGUGCGGACUUCGUCUUUGUCUUUAAAUAAAACAAAUCUCUCCCACUUACUUCUGCAGCUUUAAUCAGAUUCCUCCAAGUUCUUUGAGACAUGGGAAAUUCAUUAAUACCUUUAUUUUUAUUUUUUUUUAUUUUU
Molecule: long non-coding RNA, 468 nt
Filed under: Prunus persica (peach)
Lineage: Eukaryota; Viridiplantae; Streptophyta; Magnoliopsida; Rosales; Rosaceae
Description: long non-coding RNA (PPER_LNC002485)
Source: RNAcentral